GGGCCCCGCGCGCACCCGGGAGGGUCCGGGCAGCGGCCGGGGAACGUGUGUCCGGAGCGGCCGGGCAGGCGUGGGGAGAGAGCGGCUCCGGAGGCGGGAGCCCGAUCGGUCCCUUACCGAGCGCUGGGCACGUCCACCGGCCCGAGGCCGCCGCUGCCGCCGCCGGGGCCGGCUAGCACGUCCCCGCCGUAUUUCUCCUCCAUCCCGGGGAUCAGGAGCCGCCGCCGCUGCCCCCGCUACGGGGUCUCCUCAUGUCUCGCCGCUGCCGCGGAACACCGGGCGCAGGCGCGUCACUCCCCCAUGCCAGCGGCCCCGUCGGGUCCCCGAGACCUGCCCGCUGCCGCUGUCCCCAGCUCCGGCUCACAAGCACACGCGCGUCCGUACUAGGCCGCGGACAGUUCCGGCGCCGCCGGGUUUCCCGGAGGCUCACCGGAUCGGACGGGGCCAGGCCACGUCAUCGGGCCCAGCAGCCCUCACUCUCGUGGGAGUGCCCGGCCCUGCGCCUGCGCACAGUGCAACACUCGCCGUCCCCUCCCCUUCCUAAGGCUCUUCCUACCGCUGGGCUACGGAUGGAAUCCUCGCCCCCUAUCAGCUCCUCCCAUUGACGAGGCCUGAGCACAUACCUGUCCCUGCAGCGCCACCUAUGGGCUAUCAGGAAUACAGCGGGUUCUUCUGGAGCGGAGGUAUGCAUUUUUGGCAAGAAUAACACAGAAGUGAUUCUAUAUUCCUCUCAGUGCAUCAUAUCAGAAGGCACGUGAUGCUGACUGCUCUCAUUAACUGGCUUUGGGUCCACGCUCUUCUAUUCAAGAUAUUUGGCUACCUCUCCAGCUGUCGAAGAAGAAGAAAAGCAAGUCAGCUGUACACUCAGCUAUUACUCAAUGAGCAGGUAAAGGCUGAAGACAGAAUUCCGUGGCACCACAGACUCUGGGCUGAUACUGAUUCAUAAUUAGCAUCUGUCUUUGUGAUCUCUGGGCCACAUUCCUCCAUCUUGUUCACAAGGCAUCACAUGAAUUUCUGCAAAGGCAUUGAUGAUGGCUUUGAGGAAUAAAUAUUGCAGAUGGAUCAAAUCAAAGAAUCAAAUUUCAAAGCUGGAUUAAGAGUCGUGGAAAAAAAAGAGAAGCAGAAAUGAGGGAAAAAGAGAAGUACAAAAGUAAAAUGAGCAGUUGAUUAUUGAAAAGAAAAUCUUCUGCUGUUUGAAUAAAGACCAAAGGGCUUUCAUUGUCAGUUUCCCACAUGGCUAUGUCUUUUUUGAGCAGCACGUCCCAAGAUCAAGAAACCACAAAGAACUUAAACUUUAACUAAUUAGCAGUAGUGAAAAUUUACUAAACAUCAGCAACAAAUUUACUAGGCAAUUUCAUUUCCAAAGCAUGUUGGCAUAUAUCACAGGUAAAAUGUUUUCAGAAACAUCAUUUUUAACAUAGGAUCUUAUUUGCAGAAGCUAUUUUCAUGGCCUAGGCAACAAACGGUUCAUUGAAACAGAACUUUGCUGAUCUGGUUUCAAAGAAUUCUAUGAUAUGAAAAAUUCUGUGGAACAGAUGGGAUCAGAAGUCCCUGAACAGAGAACAGGCAUAUUUGGUAAUGAAAAUGUUCUUUUGGUAUAGCAUUAUGUUUUAUGUUCAAAAGUAUUAGUAUGCGAGGAACUCAGGCAGGAGCAGAAAAGAACAAUUAGGAAUAAUACUUUAUAGGUGAAUAGGCUUUAUGCUUCCCAAAAUACUCAGACCCCACCAAAGCCCAGUAGCAGGUACUAUCCUCCUUUUAUUGGUGAAAAACAUGCUUCUAAGAAAGAUGUAUGCCACAACUACUGAAGACCAUGCUCCUAGAGCCCGUGCUCUGCAACAAGAGAAGCCACCGCAAUGAGAAGCCCACACACCGCAACGAAGAGUAGCCCCCGCUCACCACAACUAGAGAAAGCCCGUGUGUAGCAAUGAAGACCCAA
This is a long non-coding RNA of Balaenoptera ricei (Rice's whale), 1936 nucleotides long. RefSeq lists it as uncharacterized. The transcript has 4 exons. NCBI's taxonomy places the organism in Eukaryota, Metazoa, Chordata, Mammalia, Artiodactyla, Balaenopteridae. The record is from RefSeq and is a predicted model, not a curated record.